Molecule: long non-coding RNA, 346 nt
Filed under: Lathyrus oleraceus (garden pea)
Lineage: Eukaryota; Viridiplantae; Streptophyta; Magnoliopsida; Fabales; Fabaceae
Description: Pisum sativum (pea) long non-coding RNA (PSAT_LNC038650)
Source: RNAcentral
UGCAUUUUUAACCAAACCAAAAUCUGCAACCUUUGCUCUCAUGUCAUCACCCAAUAGUAUGUUGGAGGGUUUUAAGUCCCUGUGAAUGAAGCUUUGCUGAGCUAAGCUGUGCAAGUAUUCAACUCCCCGCGCUACAUCCAAAGAUUGGAGGGUUUUAAGUCCCUGUGAAUGAAGCUUUGCUGAGCUAAGCUGUGCAAGUAUUCAACUCCCCGCGCUACAUCCAAAGCUAUUGCUACCCUUUGUUUCCAAGUCAAAGGAGCACAUCCGUUUUCACCCCAAUCAAAUAGAUGUUGUGUUAAUGUUCCUUGAGGCAUAUACUCAUACACUAAAAGCCUUUCAUUUCCAU